This 625-nucleotide ribosomal RNA is filed under the name uncultured archaeon. Its description in RNAcentral is "bacterial SSU rRNA". It matches the Rfam family "Archaeal small subunit ribosomal RNA", at positions 147 to 774 of the family's 1478-position model. The record is from RNAcentral.
UAAUACUCCAUAGAUUAUGGAAUCUGGAAUGAUCCAUAGUCAAAAGUUCCGGCGCUUAAGGAUCGGUCUGCGGCCUAUCAGGUCGUAGUGGGUGUAACGUACCUACUAGCCUAUGACGGGUAUGGGCCUUGAGAGAGGGAGCCCAGAGUUGGAUUCUGAGACACGAAUCCAGGCCCUACGGGGCGCAGCAGUCGCGAAAACUUCACAAUGGGGGCAACCCCGAUGAGGGAAUUCCUAGUGCUAGCACAUUUGUGUUAGCUUUUCUCUAGCGUAGAUAACUAGAGGAAUAAGGGCUGGGAAAGACGGGUGCCAGCCGCCGCGGUAAUACCUGCAGCCCAAGUGGUGGUCGAUUUUAUUGAGUCUAAAACGUUCGUAGCCGGUUCGAUAAAUCUUUGGGUAAAUCGGGGGGCUUAACCUUCCGUCUUCCGAGGAGACUGUCGAACUUGGGACCGGGAGAGGCUAGAGGUACUUCUGGGGUAGGGGUAAAAUCCUGUAAUCCUAGAAGGACCACCGGUGGCGAAGGCGUCUAGCUAGAACGGAUCCGACGGUGAGGGACGAAGCCCUGGGUCGCAAACGGGAUUAGAUACCCCGGUAGUCCAGGGUGUAAACGCUGCAGACUUGGUGU